UACGGAGGGUGCGAGCGUUAUCCGGAAUUACUGGGUUUAAAGGGUGCGUAGGCGGCUUGGUAAGUCGGGAGUGAAAGUUUGCGGCUCAACCGUAAAAUUGCUUUUGAUACUGCCAGGCUAGAAUCAGGAUGAGGUCAGCGGAAUGUGGCAUGUAGCGGUGAAAUGCAUAGAUAUGCCAUAGAACACCCAUUGCGAAGGCAGCUGGCUAGACCUGGAUUGACGCUGAGGCACGAAAGCGUGGGGAGCGAACAGG
This 253-nucleotide ribosomal RNA is filed under the name uncultured bacterium. RNAcentral describes it as "partial 16S ribosomal RNA". It matches the Rfam family "Bacterial small subunit ribosomal RNA", at positions 524 to 776 of the family's 1533-position model. The record is from RNAcentral.